AUGCUGGUGGGCAUCCUGGUUGCGAGCGUCACCUACCAAGCCGGCCUUACCCCGCCGGGCGGCGUCUGGCCGGACGGCAGCGACAGGCACGCCGCCGGCAACCCGGUGCUGCACGACAGCAACAAGCAGCGGUACCGUUUGUUUUUCUACAGCAACUCCGUUUCUUUCUUGGCGUCCAUCGUCGUCAUCCUCCUCCUGCUGUUGGACGAGACGUUGUUCGACCCAAAGCAGGAGUUGGUAUCGGACGAUCAGCAUCUGCUAUGGGUGGCCCAGUCCUCGAUUCUGCUGGCCCUGCUUGGCCUCCUGUGGGCGUACGCCUCCGGCUGCAGCCGGGAGUGGAAGACGUCGGGAUAUGUCGUCGCGCUCGCCGUCGCUGUGCUGCUCUACAUGGCCAUCCAUGUGGCGCUAUCAUGCCACGACAAGAAAGGCAAAAAAACACCUCAAGAGGACGGCAAAUCACCUGGCAAGCAAUGCAGUUCCGAAGACGGUGAAGGAAAGCUAGAGCGGGUUCAAUCUGAGAUUAACACUGUAUAG
This 534-nucleotide ribosomal RNA is filed under the name Triticum aestivum (bread wheat). Its description in RNAcentral is "partial small subunit ribosomal RNA". The record is from RNAcentral. Lineage: Eukaryota; Viridiplantae; Streptophyta; Magnoliopsida; Poales; Poaceae.